CAGUCGCCGCGGGAAUACGUAGGCGGUAAACGUUGUCCGGAAUUAUUGGGCGUAAAGCGAGCGCAGGCGGUUAGAUAAGUCUGAAGUUAAAGGCUGUGGCUUAACCAUAGUUCGCUUUGGAAACUGUUUAACUUGAGUGCAAGAGGGGAGAGUGGAAUUCCAUGUGUAGCGGUGAAAUGCGUAGAUAUAUGGAGGAACACCGGUGGCGAAAGCGGCUCUCUGGUCUGUAACUGACGCUGAGGCUCGAAAGCGUGGGGAGCAAACAGGAUUAGAUACCCCCGUAGUCCCUGUCUCUUAUACA
Molecule: ribosomal RNA, 301 nt
Filed under: uncultured bacterium
Lineage: Bacteria
Description: partial 16S ribosomal RNA
Rfam family: Bacterial small subunit ribosomal RNA
Source: RNAcentral